AUACUCUGAUUUCUCUUCAGAUCGUAUAAAUCUUUCGCCUUUUACUAAAGAUUUCCGUGGAGAAUGCAAUGAUGAGCAGUUGACUGUCUCCCAGCCAAGACCUGUUGAAA
Molecule: small nuclear RNA, 110 nt
Organism: Oryctolagus cuniculus (rabbit)
Lineage: Eukaryota; Metazoa; Chordata; Mammalia; Lagomorpha; Leporidae
Gene: U5
Rfam family: U5 spliceosomal RNA
About the family: U5 RNA is a component of both types of known spliceosome. The precise function of this molecule is unknown, though it is known that the 5' loop is required for splice site selection and p220 binding, and that both the 3' stem-loop and the Sm site are important for Sm protein binding and cap methylation.
Source: Ensembl